AACCAUAGAAACCUGCGGAGUACCUGCGGAAGGAUCAUUACAAGUGACCCCGGUUUACCACCGGGAUGUUCAUAACCCUUUGUUGUCCGACUCUGUUGCCUCCGGGGCGACCCUGCCUUCGGGCGGGGGCUCCGGGUGGACACUUCAAACUCUUGCGUAACUUUGCAGUCUGAGUAAACUUAAUUAAUAAAUUAAAACUUUCAGCAACGGAUCU
This 214-nucleotide unclassified non-coding RNA is filed under the name soil metagenome. RNAcentral describes it as "partial contains 5.8S ribosomal RNA, internal transcribed spacer 2, and large subunit ribosomal RNA". The record is from RNAcentral.